RNAcentral lists this ribosomal RNA (253 nucleotides) under uncultured bacterium. Its description in RNAcentral is "partial 16S ribosomal RNA". It matches the Rfam family "Bacterial small subunit ribosomal RNA", at positions 524 to 776 of the family's 1533-position model. The record is from RNAcentral.
UACGAAGGGGGCUAGCGUUGCUCGGAAUUACUGGGCGUAAAGCGCACGUAGGCGGAUUGUUAAGUCGGGGGUGAAAUCCUGGAGCUCAACUCCAGAACUGCCUUCGAUACUGGCGAUCUCGAGUUCGGGAGAGGUGAGUGGAACUGCGAGUGUAGAGGUGAAAUUCGUAGAUAUUCGCAAGAACACCAGUGGCGAAGGCGGCUCACUGGCCCGAUACUGACGCUGAUACGCGAAAGCCAGGGGAGCAAACGGG